UGGAGGGCAAGUCUGGUGCCAGCAGCUGUGGUAAUUUCAGCUCCAAUAGCGUAUAUUAAAGUUGUUACAAUUAAAAAGCUCGUAGUUGAAUUUCGGGAUUAGUAGGUUGGUUGUGCCUCAGGUAUAUACUGAUCUCACUAAUUCCUCCUUCCUGAUGAACCGUAAUGCCAUUAAUUUGGUGUUACAGGGAAACUGGACUGUUACUUUAAAAAAAUUAGAGUGUUUAAAGCAGGCUAACGCUUGAAUACAUUAGCAUGGAAUAAUGAAAUAGGACGUUCGAUCCUAUUUUGUUGGUUUCUAGGAUUGAUGUAAUAAUUAAUAGGGAUAGUUGGGGGCAUUAGUAUUCAAUUAUCAGAGGUGAAAUUCUUGGAUUUAUUGAAGACUAACUACUGCGAAAGCAUUUGCCAAGGAUGUUUUCAUUAAUCAA
RNAcentral lists this ribosomal RNA (427 nucleotides) under uncultured Glomus. RNAcentral describes it as "SSU rRNA". It matches the Rfam family "Eukaryotic small subunit ribosomal RNA", at positions 549 to 980 of the family's 1831-position model. The record is from RNAcentral. Lineage: Eukaryota; Fungi; Glomeromycota; Glomeromycetes; Glomerales; Glomeraceae.